RNAcentral lists this ribosomal RNA (384 nucleotides) under uncultured bacterium. RNAcentral's name for it is "bacterial SSU rRNA". It matches the Rfam family "Bacterial small subunit ribosomal RNA", at positions 28 to 417 of the family's 1533-position model. The record is from RNAcentral.
GACGAACGCUGGCGGCGUGCUUAACACAUGCAAGUCGAGCGGUAAGGCCCUUCGGGUACACGAGCGGCGAACGGGUGAGUAACACGUGGGUGACCUGCCCUUAGCUCUGGGAUAAGCCUGGGAAACUGGGUCUAAUACCGGAUAUGACCUCAUGACGCAUGUUGUGGGGUGGAAAGCCUUGUGCGGCUAGGGAUGGGCCCGCGGCCUAUCAGCUUGUUGGUGGGGUGAUGGCCACCAAGGCGACGACGGGUAGCCGGCCUGAGAGGGCGACCGGCCACACUGGGACUGAGACACGGCCCAGACUCCUACGGGAGGCAGCAGUGGGGAAUCUUGCGCAAUGGGCGAAAGCCUGACGCAGCGACGCCGCGUGAGGGAUGACGGCCU